RNAcentral lists this ribosomal RNA (253 nucleotides) under uncultured bacterium. RNAcentral's name for it is "partial 16S ribosomal RNA". It matches the Rfam family "Bacterial small subunit ribosomal RNA", at positions 524 to 776 of the family's 1533-position model. The record is from RNAcentral.
UACGGAGGGUGCGAGCGUUGUCCGGAAUCACUGGGCGUAAAGGGCGCGUAGGCGGCGCGGGAAGUCCAUGGUGAAAGCCCGAGGCUCAACUUCGGGUCGGCCAAGGAUACUCCCGGGCUCGAGCACUGUAGAGGCAGGUGGAAUUCCGGGUGUAGCGGUGGAAUGCGUAGAGAUCCGGAAGAACACCGGUGGCGAAGGCGGCCUGCUGGGCAGUUGCUGACACUGAGGCGCGACAGCGUGGGGAGCAAACAGG